AAAUUGAAGAGUUUGAUCAUGGCUCAGAUUGAACGCUGGCGGCAGGCCUAACACAUGCAAGUCGAACGGUAACAGGAAGCAGCUUGCUGCUUCGCUGACGAGUGGCGGACGGGUGAGUAAUGUCUGGGAAACUGCCUGAUGGAGGGGGAUAACUACUGGAAACGGUAGCUAAUACCGCAUAACGUCGCAAGACCAAAGAGGGGGACCUUCGGGCCUCUUGCCAUCGGAUGUGCCCAGAUGGGAUUAGCUAGUAGGUGGGGUAACGGCUC
RNAcentral lists this ribosomal RNA (269 nucleotides) under Escherichia coli. RNAcentral's name for it is "partial 16S ribosomal RNA". It matches the Rfam family "Bacterial small subunit ribosomal RNA", at positions 1 to 266 of the family's 1533-position model. The record is from RNAcentral. Lineage: Bacteria; Pseudomonadati; Pseudomonadota; Gammaproteobacteria; Enterobacterales; Enterobacteriaceae.